Molecule: ribosomal RNA, 253 nt
Filed under: uncultured bacterium
Lineage: Bacteria
Description: partial 16S ribosomal RNA
Rfam family: Bacterial small subunit ribosomal RNA
Source: RNAcentral
UACGAAGGGGGCUAGCGUUGUUCGGAAUUACUGGGCGUAGAGCGCGCGCAGGCGGCUCUUCAAGUCAGGGGUGAAAGCCCAGAGCUCAACUCUGGAACUGCCUUUGAGACUGAAGAGCUUGAGUACGGGAGAGGUGGGUGGAAUUCCCAGUGUAGAGGUGAAAUUCGUAGAUAUUGGGAAGAACACCGGUGGCGAAGGCGGCUCACUGGCCCGUUACUGACGCUCAGGCGCGACAGCGUGGGGAUCAAACAGG